This 252-nucleotide ribosomal RNA is filed under the name uncultured bacterium. Its description in RNAcentral is "partial 16S ribosomal RNA". It matches the Rfam family "Bacterial small subunit ribosomal RNA", at positions 524 to 776 of the family's 1533-position model. The record is from RNAcentral.
UACGGGGGGGCAAGCGUUGUUCGGAAUUACUGGGCGUAAAGGGCUCGUAGGUGGCCAACUAAGUCAGACGUGAAAUCCCUCAGCUUAACUGGGGAACUGCGUCUGAUACUGGAUGGCUUGAGAUUGGGAGAGGGAUGCGGAAUUCCAGGUGUAGCGGUGAAAUGCGUAGAUAUCUGGAGGAACACCGGUGGCGAAGGCGGCAUCCUGGACCAACACUGACACUGAGGAGCGAAAGCCAGGGGAGCAAACGGG